AAAAAGACAAACCCUGGGUUUCCGUGUCCAACGUUUGACUCUCCGUCUUAUAUGAAAUUUUUUUAUAAUUAGUAUUUUCAUUGUUGUUAGAUGAUAAAACAUGAUUAAUACUUUGUGUGACUUGUAUUUUUUUAUUUUUUUCAUAAUUUUUUUAAAUAAGACGAACGGUCAAACGUUGGACACGGAAACCCAAGGUUUGUCUUUUU
This 206-nucleotide microRNA precursor is filed under the name Oryza glumipatula. RNAcentral describes it as "MIR812 microRNA precursor family". It matches the Rfam family "MIR812 microRNA precursor family". The record is from Rfam by way of RNAcentral. Lineage: Eukaryota; Viridiplantae; Streptophyta; Magnoliopsida; Poales; Poaceae.